This 1028-nucleotide long non-coding RNA is filed under the name Cricetulus griseus (Chinese hamster). RNAcentral describes it as "lncRNA (ENSCGRG00000025585.1)". The record is from RNAcentral. Lineage: Eukaryota; Metazoa; Chordata; Mammalia; Rodentia; Cricetidae.
CAGUGUGGUAGGCUUGCCCCGGAAUCCGCUCGAAAGGCGAGAGUCGCUCGCAGAACUACAGACUGCUUGGUGCCGCGAGAGCCUAGGAAAACAGCUUUGCUAUCUACAGAAACCAAGAUUCUGUCCUCCAAGGAACCCUGAAUGUUUCUUCCAGACCGAUUGGGAAGUGUACAUCAAGUUCAGUGCUUUUACAAAUGUCUUCACUAUUAUUCGGCUUAAAUAUGCACUUAAGGCACUUAAGAGAGAGAGAUGAUCCUCUGAGCCUGGUGAGGCGAUGUACUUGGGUACACCCUGGAGAAUAUCCACUAGGGAUGGAGGUGGGCACCUGGUGAGCACAGGUGCUAAGAACAAUCCUCGCCAACAACCAGUAGUAAGAAAGCAGACUUCAAGACUAAGCUUAGGUUGACUUUCUCACAAAGUUUCCAGACAAGACUUGUCCCUGGCUGAUGCUACAGGCUUGGGAUGCCCUGAGCCAAGAAGCCAUUUAUGCGUUUCUGAGCUGCACUCUCUGCUUCCGAACUGUGGACCACCAAAUAAGCUUUUGAGUUUGUUUAAAUUUCUCUUGCAGUAGUAGAAACAAUAAAGAGGCAACUAGAGACAGGCAGAACAAUUCCACAACUUCAGUAAAAAGUUAUAAAGUUGCAAAGUGGGCAACACAAGAUAUCUCAAGCAUCCUUCUAAUUUUACCUGGUUCUGACACUAAAAUAUGUGUUAAUCUGGAGGGCCAAGUCGCCCUUCCUGAAGGGCCACAGAUGCAGGGUGCAGUUCUGCAUCUGGUUGCUUACUGACGAGUUAACAGCUUGUCCAUAAAUCAAAGCCCAAAUCUGAUCCAGAAAGUGUUCCACUUGAACCUCAGUUUCCCUAGAUGACUGGGAAAGCGGCCUUUGCUUAAAUAAAAGCAUCAACCUUCAUCAAGCCUCCACCACCCCAGGCUGGUCCUGGGGUGCAGCCCAAGUAUUCCAGUCCUAAGGCAGGAACCCUUCUGAGCUCCUACCAGGUAUUUGUGUUGUAAGUGGGUGGAGGAACUC